RNAcentral lists this ribosomal RNA (649 nucleotides) under Bacillus licheniformis. RNAcentral's name for it is "bacterial SSU rRNA". It matches the Rfam family "Bacterial small subunit ribosomal RNA", at positions 390 to 1030 of the family's 1533-position model. The record is from RNAcentral. Lineage: Bacteria; Bacillati; Bacillota; Bacilli; Caryophanales; Bacillaceae.
AGCACGCCGCGUGAGUGAUGAAGGUUUUCGGAUCGUAAAACUCUGUUGUUAGGGAAGAACAAGUACCGUUCGAAUAGGGCGGUACCUUGACGGUACCUAACCAGAAAGCCACGGCUAACUACGUGCCAGCAGCCGCGGUAAUACGUAGGUGGCAAGCGUUGUCCGGAAUUAUUGGGCGUAAAGCGCGCGCAGGCGGUUUCUUAAGUCUGAUGUGAAAGCCCCCGGCUCAACCGGGGAGGGUCAUUGGAAACUGGGGAACUUGAGUGCAGAAGAGGAGAGUGGAAUUCCACGUGUAGCGGUGAAAUGCGUAGAGAUGUGGAGGAACACCAGUGGCGAAGGCGACUCUCUGGUCUGUAACUGACGCUGAGGCGCGAAAGCGUGGGGAGCGAACAGGAUUAGAUACCCUGGUAGUCCACGCCGUAAACGAUGAGUGCUAAGUGUUAGAGGGUUUCCGCCCUUUAGUGCUGCAGCAAACGCAUUAAGCACUCCGCCUGGGGAGUACGGUCGCAAGACUGAAACUCAAAGGAAUUGACGGGGGCCCGCACAAGCGGUGGAGCAUGUGGUUUAAUUCGAAGCAACGCGAAGAACCUUACCAGGUCUUGACAUCCUCUGACAACCCUAGAGAUAGGGCUUCCCCUUCGGGGGCAGA